CUAAAACCAUACGUACAGGUAGCAUACAAGUAGAACAAUACAGAGAAGAUUAUCAAACCCCAGCAUAAAGGUGACACACAAAUUUGUGAAGUGUUUCAUAUUUUU
Molecule: small nuclear RNA, 105 nt
Organism: Microtus ochrogaster (prairie vole)
Lineage: Eukaryota; Metazoa; Chordata; Mammalia; Rodentia; Cricetidae
Source: Ensembl